GGGCGCAUAGCUCAGCUGGUCAGAGCGCACGGUUCACAUCCGUGAGGUCGUUGGUUCAAGUCCAAUUGCGCCCA
Molecule: transfer RNA, 74 nt
Filed under: Chloroflexota bacterium
Lineage: Bacteria; Bacillati; Chloroflexota
Also listed under: 1 other name
Description: Chloroflexi bacterium (Maroochydoore River metagenome) tRNA-Val
Rfam family: tRNA
About the family: Transfer RNA (tRNA) molecules are approximately 80 nucleotides in length. Their secondary structure includes four short double-helical elements and three loops (D, anti-codon, and T loops). Further hydrogen bonds mediate the characteristic L-shaped molecular structure. tRNAs have two regions of fundamental functional importance: the anti-codon, which is responsible for specific mRNA codon recognition, and the 3' end, to which the tRNAs corresponding amino acid is attached (by aminoacyl-tRNA synthetases). tRNAs cope with the degeneracy of the genetic code in two manners: having more than one tRNA (with a specific anti-codon) for a particular amino acid; and 'wobble' base-pairing, i.e. permitting non-standard base-pairing at the 3rd anti-codon position.
Source: RNAcentral